Molecule: ribosomal RNA, 357 nt
Filed under: uncultured bacterium
Lineage: Bacteria
Description: partial 16S ribosomal RNA
Rfam family: Bacterial small subunit ribosomal RNA
Source: RNAcentral
CCUACGUGAUGCAGCAGUGAGGAAUAUUGGUCAAUGGGCGGAAGCCUGAACCAGCCACGUAGCGUGCGGGAUGAAGGCCCUACGGGUCGUAAACCGCUUUUGCACGGGGAUAACACCCUCCACUUGUGGAGGUCUUCAGGUACCGUGCGAAUAAGGGCCGGCUAAUUCCGUGCCAGCAGCCGCGGUAAUACGGAAGGCCCGAGCGUUAUCCGUAUUCAUUGGGCUUAAAGGGAGCGUAGGCGGGCGUUCAAGUCAGCUGUAAAAUCGCGCGGCUCAACAGCGCCCCGCAGUUGAAACGGGACGCCUUGAGUUCACAACAGGCAGGCGGAAUUCGUGGUGGAGCGGUGAAAUGCAUAG